RNAcentral lists this transfer RNA (73 nucleotides) under Caudoviricetes sp. Its description in RNAcentral is "tRNA-Met". It matches the Rfam family "tRNA". From Rfam's summary of the family: Transfer RNA (tRNA) molecules are approximately 80 nucleotides in length. Their secondary structure includes four short double-helical elements and three loops (D, anti-codon, and T loops). Lineage: Duplodnaviria; Heunggongvirae; Uroviricota; Caudoviricetes. The record is from RNAcentral.
GGUCCCAUAGCGUAAAGGUUAACGCAAAACACUCAUAAUGUUGAGAUUCUAGGUUCAAGUCCUAGUGGGACCA